RNAcentral lists this ribosomal RNA (229 nucleotides) under uncultured bacterium. RNAcentral's name for it is "partial 16S ribosomal RNA". It matches the Rfam family "Bacterial small subunit ribosomal RNA", at positions 118 to 347 of the family's 1533-position model. The record is from RNAcentral.
UGAGCAAUCUGCCCUUCUCAUCGGAAUAAGCGUGGGAAACCGCGUCUAAUGCCGAAUACGACCUCCUUUCGCAUGAUCGGAGGUGGAAAGCUCCGGCGGAGAAGGAUGAGCUCGCGGCCUAUCAGCUUGUUGGUGAGGUAAUGGCUCACCAAGGCAUUGACGGGUAGCCGGCCUGAGAGGGUGACCGGCCACACUGGGACUGAGACACGGCCCAGACCUCUACGGGAGG